Molecule: ribosomal RNA, 450 nt
Filed under: uncultured bacterium
Lineage: Bacteria
Description: bacterial SSU rRNA
Rfam family: Bacterial small subunit ribosomal RNA
Source: RNAcentral
UCAAGAAACUUCCACAAUGGGCGAAAGCCUGAUGGAGCGACGUCGCGUGAUGGACGAAGUGCUUCGGCACGUAAACAUCUUUUAUGUGGGAUGAAAUUAUUGACAGUACCACAUGAAUAAGGGGCUCCUAACUCUGUGCCAGCAGCCGCGGUAAUACAGAGGGUGCAAGCGUUAAUCGGAAUUACUGGGCGUAAAGCGCACGUAGGCGGUUUUUUAAGUCAGAUGUGAAAGCCCCGGGCUCAACCUGGGAAUUGCAUUUGAAACUGGAAAACUAGAGUGUGUGAGAGGGGGGUAGAAUUCCACGUGUAGCAGUGAAAUGCGUAGAUAUGUGGAGGAAUACCGAUGGCGAAGGCAGCCCCCUGGGCUAACACUGACGCUCAUGCACGAAAGCGUGGGGAGCAAACAGGAUUAGAUACCCAUGUAGUCCCUGAGCGGGCUGGCAAGGCGCAU